RNAcentral lists this ribosomal RNA (1452 nucleotides) under Bacillus amyloliquefaciens. RNAcentral's name for it is "bacterial SSU rRNA". It matches the Rfam family "Bacterial small subunit ribosomal RNA". The record is from RNAcentral. Lineage: Bacteria; Bacillati; Bacillota; Bacilli; Caryophanales; Bacillaceae.
CCGUGCGCUCCUAUAAUGCAGUCGAGCGGACAGAUGGGAGCUUGCUCCCUGAUGUUAGCGGCGGACGGGUGAGUAACACGUGGGUAACCUGCCUGUAAGACUGGGAUAACUCCGGGAAACCGGGGCUAAUACCGGAUGGUUGUUUGAACCGCAUGGUUCAGACAUAAAAGGUGGCUUCGGCUACCACUUACAGAUGGACCCGCGGCGCAUUAGCUAGUUGGUGAGGUAACGGCUCACCAAGGCGACGAUGCGUAGCCGACCUGAGAGGGUGAUCGGCCACACUGGGACUGAGACACGGCCCAGACUCCUACGGGAGGCAGCAGUAGGGAAUCUUCCGCAAUGGACGAAAGUCUGACGGAGCAACGCCGCGUGAGUGAUGAAGGUUUUCGGAUCGUAAAGCUCUGUUGUUAGGGAAGAACAAGUGCCGUUCAAAUAGGGCGGCACCUUGACGGUACCUAACCAGAAAGCCACGGCUAACUACGUGCCAGCAGCCGCGGUAAUACGUAGGUGGCAAGCGUUGUCCGGAAUUAUUGGGCGUAAAGGGCUCGCAGGCGGUUUCUUAAGUCUGAUGUGAAAGCCCCCGGCUCAACCGGGGAGGGUCAUUGGAAACUGGGGAACUUGAGUGCAGAAGAGGAGAGUGGAAUUCCACGUGUAGCGGUGAAAUGCGUAGAGAUGUGGAGGAACACCAGUGGCGAAGGCGACUCUCUGGUCUGUAACUGACGCUGAGGAGCGAAAGCGUGGGGAGCGAACAGGAUUAGAUACCCUGGUAGUCCACGCCGUAAACGAUGAGUGCUAAGUGUUAGGGGGUUUCCGCCCCUUAGUGCUGCAGCUAACGCAUUAAGCACUCCGCCUGGGGAGUACGGUCGCAAGACUGAAACUCAAAGGAAUUGACGGGGGCCCGCACAAGCGGUGGAGCAUGUGGUUUAAUUCGAAGCAACGCGAAGAACCUUACCAGGUCUUGACAUCCUCUGACAAUCCUAGAGAUAGGACGUCCCCUUCGGGGGCAGAGUGACAGGUGGUGCAUGGUUGUCGUCAGCUCGUGUCGUGAGAUGUUGGGUUAAGUCCCGCAACGAGCGCAACCCUUGAUCUUAGUUGCCAGCAUUCAGUUGGGCACUCUAAGGUGACUGCCGGUGACAAACCGGAGGAAGGUGGGGAUGACGUCAAAUCAUCAUGCCCCUUAUGACCUGGGCUACACACGUGCUACAAUGGACAGAACAAAGGGCAGCGAAACCGCGAGGUUAAGCCAAUCCCACAAAUCUGUUCUCAGUUCGGAUCGCAGUCUGCAACUCGACUGCGUGAAGCUGGAAUCGCUAGUAAUCGCGGAUCAGCAUGCCGCGGUGAAAUACGUUCCCGGGCCUUGUACACACCGCCCGUCACACCACGAGGAGUUUGUAACACCCGAAAGUCGGUGGAGGUGACCUUUAGGAGCCAGCCGCCGAAAGGUGACCUUUU